CACGUUGCGUGGUUUCCAUAGUAACCGUGCUAGUUAAAAGGCUAGCAGAAACAACAUUCUACAUGUUAAAUAAAUACAUCAUCUAAAACGAAACUUGACGAUUCGCGGUUUCUACGAUACUCGUGUGUACAGUAAACAUCGUGUGUAUUGUGAACAAUGCUGGAGACAAACGAUCAUAACUUUAUUGAAACUGAAGAAAAGGAAGAUUCUACGGAUUGUGAUGAAGAUCAGGCCUCAGAAGAGAUUCCACAGUCGUUACUCAGCUACUUUGAGAUUUCUCAAAGCAGAGCAGCAGUAUGUGAGCGACUUAUCCUCAAUGAGCUAGAAGCAUCUCAUUACACUGAGGGGCAGGAGAUGAAUAUCCCUAAUAAAGAUCUACAAACGCUGGAUGAGCAGAAUAAAAACGAGGAGAACCAGAAUGAUGACACCUUCUUAAAUAAGCAUCCCAACACUGAAGAUGAUGGUGCACUGGAUGAAAGCUUAAAGGAGAAAUACAUUCAUGAUUUAGUGAAGUGUAAAAACAACCAGGAGGAGAAGCAAAGGAAACGGAGAGAAAUUCACUUUCAAGAAGAUCUGCAAAAGAUAAUGACAUCAGAGAAGCAUAAUCAGGUGGAACUCGAGCUGAACAAAAGGAGAGAUUAUGAGAAACUUGAGCAUGAGUUACAGCUUCAGCAGGAAAACAUCAAUAACCGACAAAAACAAGUUGAAGACAUUAAAAGGAUGAUCGAAGUGGAGCAAAAAAGACAACAGGAAAUAGAUGAGAGGAAAAUGGUGGAAAGGGAAGAAAGGAAGAGGAAGAAGGAAGAGAAAAGGCGUCAAGAGAGAUUGAUUAAGGAAGAAAAAAAGAGAAAAAUGAAAGAGAGGAAGCUGAAAGAGGAGGAAAAAGAGGAAAGAAGAAGAGGAGGAGAUGAGGAAGAAAGAGGAGGAAGAGAAAAGGAAAAGUGAGGAGGAAAAUAGAUUGCGAGAGGAAAUGGCGAAAGAGGAGUUGAAGCGGAAAAAAGAUGAAGAAUUAAAGGAAGAAGAGAGGAAAACUGGCAGAAGAAAUAAAGAGGAAGAAGAAGAAAGAAAAGAGAACCA
This 1077-nucleotide long non-coding RNA is filed under the name Gouania willdenowi (blunt-snouted clingfish). RNAcentral's name for it is "lncRNA (ENSGWIG00000010065.1)". Lineage: Eukaryota; Metazoa; Chordata; Actinopteri; Blenniiformes; Gobiesocidae. The record is from RNAcentral.